CAGGCUUAACACAUGCAAGUCGAGGGGCAGCAUUUCAGUUUGCUUGCAAACUGGAGAUGGCGACCGGCGCACGGGUGAGUAACACGUAUCCAACCUGCCGAUAACUCGGGGAUAGCCUUUCGAAAGAAAGAUUAAUACCCGAUGGUAUAAUCAGACCGCAUGGUCUUGUUAUUAAAGAAUUUCGGUUAUCGAUGGGGAUGCGUUCCAUUAGGCAGUUGGUGAGGUAACGGCUCACCAAACCUUCGAUGGAUAGGGGUUCUGAGAGGAAGGUCCCCCACAUUGGAACUGAGACACGGUCCAAACUCCUACGGGAGGCAGCAGUGAGGAAUAUUGGUCAAUGGGCGCAGGCCUGAACCAGCCAAGUAGCGUGAAGGAUGACUGCCCUAUGGGUUGUAAACUUCUUUUAUAUGGGAAUAAAGUUUUCCACGUGUGGAAUUUUGUAUGUACCAUAUGAAUAAGGAUCGGCUAACUCCGUGCCAGCAGCCGCGGUAAUACGGAGGAUCCGAGCGUUAUCCGGAUUUAUUGGGUUUAAAGGGAGCGUAGGUGGACAGUUAAGUCAGUUGUGAAAGUUUGCGGCUCAACCGUAAAAUUGCAGUUGAUACUGGCUGUCUUGAGUACAGUAGAGGUGGGCGGAAUUCGUGGUGUAGCGGUGAAAUGCUUAGAUAUCACGAAGAACUCCGAUUGCGAAGGCAGCUCACUGGACUGCAACUGACACUGAUGCUCGAAAGUGUGGGUAUCAAACAGGAUUAGAUACCCUGGUAGUCCACACAGUAAACGAUGAAUACUCGCUGUUUGCGAUAUACAGUAAGCGGCCAAGCGAAAGCAUUAAGUAUUCCACCUGGGGAGUACGCCGGCAACGGUGAAACUCAAAGGAAUUGACGGGGGCCCGCACAAGCGGAGGAACAUGUGGUUUAAUUCGAUGAUACGCGAGGAACCUUACCCGGGCUUAAAUUGCAUUUGAAUAUAUUGGAAACAGUAUAGCCGUAAGGCAAAUGUGAAGGUGCUGCAUGGUUGUCGUCAGCUCGUGCCGUGAGGUGUCGGCUUAAGUGCCAUAACGAGCGCAACCCUUAUCUUUAGUUACUAACAGGUCAUGCUGAGGACUCUAGAGAGACUGCCGCCGUAAGAUGUGAGGAAGGUGGGGAUGACGUCAAAUCAGCACGGCCCUUACGUCCGGGGCUACACACGUGUUACAAUGGGGGGUACAGAAGGCAGCUACCUGGUGACAGGAUGCUAAUCCCAAAAGCCUCUCUCAGUUCGGAUCGAAGUCUGCAACCCGACUUCGUGAAGCUGGAUUCGCUAGUAAUCGCGCAUCAGCCAUGGCGCGGUGAAUACGUUCCCGGGCCUUGUACACACCGCCCGUCAAGCCAUGAAAGCCGGGGGUACCUGAAGUACGUAACCGCAAGGAGCGCCCUAGGGUAAAACUGGUAAUUGGGGCUAAGUCAUAAC
This 1446-nucleotide ribosomal RNA is filed under the name uncultured organism. RNAcentral describes it as "16S ribosomal RNA". It matches the Rfam family "Bacterial small subunit ribosomal RNA". The record is from RNAcentral.